CCUACGGGAGGCAGCAGUGGGGAAUUUUCCACAAUGGGCGAAAGCCUGAUGGAGCAACGCCGCGUGUGUGAUGAAGGUUUUCGGAUCGUAAAGCACUUUCGACCGGGACGAAAAACCUCUGGCUAACAUCCAGGGGCCUGACGGUACCGGGAGAAGAAGCACCGGCUAACUCUGUGCCAGCAGCCGCGGUAAUACAGAGGGUGCAAGCGUUGUUCGGAAUUAUUGGGCGUAAAGCGCGUGUAGGCGGCUUGGCAAGUCAGAUGUGAAAGCCCUCGGCUUAACCGAGGAAGUGCGUCUGAAACUGCUGAGCUUGAGUGUCGGAGAGGAUGGCGGAAUUCCGCAAGUAGAGGUGAAAUUCGUAGAUAUGCGGAGGAACACCGGUGGCGAAGGCGGCCAUCUGGACGACUACUGACGCUGAGACGCGAAAGCGUGGGGAGCAAACAGGAUUAGAUACCCUGGUAGUCCACGCUGUAAACGAUGAGAACUAGGUGUCGUGGGUGUUGACCCCCGCGGUGCCGCAGCUAACGCAUUAAGUUCUCCGCCUGGGAAGUACGGCCGCAAGGCUAAAACUCAAAUGAAUUGACGG
Molecule: ribosomal RNA, 586 nt
Filed under: uncultured bacterium
Lineage: Bacteria
Description: bacterial SSU rRNA
Rfam family: Bacterial small subunit ribosomal RNA
Source: RNAcentral